GCUUGCUUUCUCAAGCGAGUGGCGAACGGGUGAGUAACGCGUGAGGAACCUGCCUCAAAGAGGGGGACAACAGUUGGAAACGACUGCUAAUACCGCAUAAGCCCACGGCUCGGCAUCGAGCAGAGGGAAAAGGAGCAAUCCGCUUUGAGAUGGCCUCGCGUCCGAUUAGCUAGUUGGUGAGGUAACGGCCCACCAAGGCGACGAUCGGUAGCCGGACUGAGAGGUUGAACGGCCACAUUGGGACUGAGACACGGCCCAGACUCCUACGGGAGGCAGCAGUGGGGAAUAUUGCACAAUGGGGGAAACCCUGAUGCAGCGACGCCGCGUGGAGGAAGAAGGUCUUCGGAUUGUAAACUCCUGUUGUUGAGGAAGAUAAUGACGGUACUCAACAAGGAAGUGACGGCUAACUACGUGCCAGCAGCCGCGGUAAAACGUAGGUCACAAGCGUUGUCCGGAAUUACUGGGUGUAAAGGGAGCGCAGGCGGGAAGACAAGUUGGAAGUGAAAUCCCAUGGGCUCAACCCAUGAACUGCUUUCAAAACUGUUUUUCUUGAGUAGUGCAGAGGUAGGCGGAAU
This 575-nucleotide ribosomal RNA is filed under the name uncultured Lachnospiraceae bacterium. Its description in RNAcentral is "bacterial SSU rRNA". It matches the Rfam family "Bacterial small subunit ribosomal RNA", at positions 73 to 667 of the family's 1533-position model. Lineage: Bacteria; Bacillati; Bacillota; Clostridia; Lachnospirales; Lachnospiraceae. The record is from RNAcentral.